RNAcentral lists this unclassified non-coding RNA (384 nucleotides) under Hevea brasiliensis (rubber tree). The record is from RNAcentral. Lineage: Eukaryota; Viridiplantae; Streptophyta; Magnoliopsida; Malpighiales; Euphorbiaceae.
AAAAUGUGAAGAAAAAUCCAAAUGUAAAGUUGGCACGUUCUUGAAGAAUCAUUUUCCCAACUUCCUACCCAAUCAAAUUACGCUUUAUUUUAUGUCUGUCAUUGCGAUAAUCAUCAACUCUUGCAUGUACAAGCCAUAAUCAGUAACCUUACGAAUCCCAUUUAGAAACUCAUUUUAAAAGUAACCCUCUUCCAAAACAAAAAGGCAAUACCAUUGGUGGAACCAACCAAUCGACACUCAUCAUCUCCCCCAGUCCCAGCUCACCCAUUCACUGCCAAAUUGUUGCACUUGAACCAAAAGAUUAGCCUUAAACCUUCCUGCAAGAUUUCAGCUUCAAAAAGAGACGGAUAUGGCUGCUAUAAAGAGGGCCAAUCGGUGGACCAA